AGCUCCAAUAGCGUAUAUUAAAGUUGUUGCGGUUAAAAAGCUCGUAGUUGGAUUUCUGUUGAGGAUGGGCGGUCCGCACUUCGUGCGUGUAUCUGUUUUGUCCUCGGCAUCCUUUCAGGAAACGUAACUGUGCUUAAUUGCAUGGUGCGGCACCUGAAACUUUUACUUUGAGGAAAUUAGAGUGUUCACGGCAGGCUAACGCCUUGAAUAUAUUAGCAUGGAAUAAUAAUAUAGGACCCUGGGUCUAUUUUGUUGGUUUCUAGAGCUAGGGUAAUGAUUAAUAGGGACAAUUGGGGGCAUUCGUAUUAACACGUCAGAGGUGGAAUUCUUGGAUUGUGUUACGACGAACUACUGCGAAAGCAUUUGCCAAGGAUGUUUUCA
Molecule: ribosomal RNA, 381 nt
Filed under: uncultured eukaryote
Lineage: Eukaryota
Description: SSU rRNA
Rfam family: Eukaryotic small subunit ribosomal RNA
Source: RNAcentral